This 23-nucleotide non-coding RNA is filed under the name Cricetulus griseus (Chinese hamster). Lineage: Eukaryota; Metazoa; Chordata; Mammalia; Rodentia; Cricetidae. The record is from RNAcentral.
GUGGUUGCUGGGAAUUGAACUCA